Molecule: small nucleolar RNA, 129 nt
Organism: Cyclopterus lumpus (lumpfish)
Lineage: Eukaryota; Metazoa; Chordata; Actinopteri; Perciformes; Cyclopteridae
Source: Ensembl
CCGCACUAUUCGUAACCUGGUUCAGUCUUCAGUGUGAACACGGGUUCCAUUCUAGUGCCAUAGCGAGCCCCAUCGAGGCAGGGGAGCAGUGCUUUGUGCCCGCUCCCUGUUCACUCUUUGGGAACAUUU